UGGGGAAUUGUUCGCAAUGGGCGCAAGCCUGACGACGCAACGCCGCGUGGAGGAUGAAGAUCUUCGGGUCGUAAACUCCUGUCGAGCGGGACGAAUGCCUUGCCGGUGAAUAUCCGGCGAGGGUGACGGUACCGCUAAAGGAAGCCCCGGCUAACUCCGUGCCAGCAGCCGCGGUAAUACGGGGGGGGCAAGCGUUGUUCGGAAUUACUGGGCGUAAAGGGCUCGUAGGUGGCGAUUCAAGUUAGAUGUGAAAGGCCCGGGCUCAACCCGGGAACUGCAUUUGAUACUGAAUUGCUAGAGUCCAAGAGAGGGUAGUGGAAUUCCCAGUGUAGAGGUGAAAUUCGUAGAUAUUGGGAAGAACACCAGUGGCGAAGGCGGCUACCUGGCUUGGUACUGACACUGAGGUGCGAAAGCGUGGGGAGCGAA
RNAcentral lists this ribosomal RNA (426 nucleotides) under uncultured bacterium. Its description in RNAcentral is "bacterial SSU rRNA". It matches the Rfam family "Bacterial small subunit ribosomal RNA", at positions 355 to 772 of the family's 1533-position model. The record is from RNAcentral.